GCUUAACCAUGCAGUCGAGCGCCCCGCAGGGGAGCGGCAGACGGGUGAGUAACGCGUGGCGAAUCUACCCAUCCCUACGGAAUAACCCAGGGAAACUUGGACUAAUACCGUAUACGACCGAGAGGUGAAAGAUUUAUCGGGGAUGGAUGAGCCCGCGUUGGAUUAGCUAGUUGGUGGGGUAAAGGCCUACCAAGGCGACGAUCCAUAGCUGGUCUGAGAGGAUGACCAGCCACACUGGGACUGAGACACGGCCCAGACUCCUACGGGAGGCAGCAGUGGGGAAUAUUGGACAAUGGGCGCAAGCCUGAUCCAGCCAUGCCGCGUGAGUGAUGAAGGCCCUAGGGUUGUAAAGCUCUUUCAACGGUGAAGAUAAUGACGGUAACCGUAGAAGAAGCCCCGGCUAACCUCGUGCCAGCAGCCGCGGUAAUACGAAGGGGCUAGCGUUGUUUCGGAAUUACUGGGGCGUAAAGCGCACGUAGGCGGA
RNAcentral lists this ribosomal RNA (484 nucleotides) under uncultured Aquamicrobium sp. Its description in RNAcentral is "bacterial SSU rRNA". It matches the Rfam family "Bacterial small subunit ribosomal RNA", at positions 46 to 579 of the family's 1533-position model. Lineage: Bacteria; Pseudomonadati; Pseudomonadota; Alphaproteobacteria; Hyphomicrobiales; Phyllobacteriaceae. The record is from RNAcentral.